RNAcentral lists this ribosomal RNA (429 nucleotides) under Gemmatimonadota bacterium. Its description in RNAcentral is "Gemmatimonadetes bacterium partial 16S ribosomal RNA". It matches the Rfam family "Bacterial small subunit ribosomal RNA", at positions 355 to 776 of the family's 1533-position model. Lineage: Bacteria; Pseudomonadati; Gemmatimonadota. The record is from RNAcentral.
UAGGGAAUCUUCGGCAAUGGACGAAAGUCUGACCGAGCAACGCCGCGUGAGUGAAGAAGGUUUUCGGAUCGUAAAACUCUGUUGUUAGAGAAGAACAAGGACGUUAGUAACUGAACGUCCCCUGCCGGUAUCUAACCAGAAAGCCACGGCUAACUACGUGCCAGCAGCCGCGGUAAUACGUAGGUGGCAAGCGUUGUCCGGAUUUAUUGGGCGUAAAGCGAGCGCAGGCGGUUUCUUAAGUCUGAUGUGAAAGCCCCCGGCUCAACCGGGGAGGGUCAUUGGAAACUGGGUGACUUGAGUGCAGAAGAGGAGAGUGGAAUUCCAUGUGUAGAGGUGAAAUGCGUAGAUAUAUGGAGGAACACCAGUGGCGAAGGCGGCUCUCUGGUCUGUAACUGACGCUGAGGCUCGAAAGCGUGGGGAGCAAACAGG